GCGAAAAAUCAUUUUCUACAAAAUUCGUUUCGUUGUCGAAGUCUGUUGAUUUUGUGGUUCUUUAGAGCCUUAGCCGUGCGUUGAGACUGACUUGGAUGGGAAGAAUUCGCAGCGAAACGACGCUGUAAUGAUUUGUGCGCUGAGUUGUUGUUGUAUAGAUUAACAGUGUUGUGUUCCUUAUCAGUGUUUUGAAUUAUUCUAGCACUUGAUACUUGCCCGCGGUAAGCUGAUAACGCUACAUAAAAAUGUUUAUUUCGUCAUUUUCAGUGACAAACGCGGCGCUCCGGCAGAGGCAAGGUUAUCGCUGGGUGCGCCAAAGUGUCAUUGCUACAUGUAAGCCCAAGCCUUAGGGCUGUAAUACAUGAGAUGAGGAGAAAUACUACUUUCAUGUGGCUUCGAAGAAAUCGUGAUCUGCUUAUUUGUACAUACCUAUACUGCAAAAUGGGAAAGAUCACAUUCACUUCACAAGAGAGGAAAACGAAUAGAACUGAAGCUGACUACUAAACUUCUGUAGAUAUUGGUAAAGGUAAUUAAAGUAACGGUACAAAAACAAUACAAUAUGGAUGUCGCCAAAAUAGAAAACCAUCUGUCAAUAUGAACUUCAGAGGUUGGCAAAUAUCUAAAUUCUCUUGAGGUAUCAAUAUCAAAAAUUGUCUCUUUACCUUGAACGCAAAAUUUUCUUUCUCGAAUUCUCAAUGUGUAAGCGGAGUGGCGCUUUGGCUUAUCAGCGAAAUGCUUCUGUCUGCGUCAGCUUCUACGAUGCCAUUAACGAAUCGGUUGCCUUGAAAACGCAAAUGGAUUGGAACUCAACUGAUAGGCAAGGGAGUCUAGGCUUAUUUUGCUGCUACAAAACAUUCAACCACACACACACACAAAAAUACUUAUUUUGUUGAAAACAACAACUUUUACAGUUUUGAGGCUAUCAAAACACACAGUGCUGCGGCGAGUUCAUUCACAGAUUUAUUCGCUCGAAGACUGAUUAUCGCUUCUAAGUUACAUAAAGAUCAAAACUGAUUAAGACAAAAUGCACUUUUACUUUUUAGAAUUAUUUUACUGAGCGUUCUCCGCACGUGUAGUUAGUGUCAAUGUUCUAAACCUUUGGUUGAACGAGAGCCAAUUUGAAACAAGUGAACUCCUGAUACAUCCACACACAGGCGUUGCGGUUGCGUCGCUGCCUCAGGCAGUGCUGUACGUCUGCUCCAGCGGCGGGUACGUCCAAUUGGGACGUCAGCGCCGGUAUGUUCCACUGGCGCGUUUGCUGGCUGUACAGUUCCAAGCGGUCGAUGAUGCAUUUGGUGAAGCACGGUAUGGGCUCGCGCACCGGGUUUUUAGCGUAGUCUUUGACGCGCUCCCAUUCGUACUGAUCUGAGCGAUGCAGACAGUCUUUCAUGGCCUUUUUCGCCUCCAAGCUGACAUUCUUCAUGCUCUCGAUUAGCACGAAAGGAUCAUUCUCCAA
Long non-coding RNA from Zeugodacus cucurbitae (melon fly), 1456 nucleotides. RefSeq lists it as uncharacterized. The record is from RefSeq and is a predicted model, not a curated record. The transcript has 2 exons. Lineage: Eukaryota; Metazoa; Arthropoda; Insecta; Diptera; Tephritidae.